GUGACUGGGAGCAAGUCACUUCCCCUCUCUGGUCACGUUUCCUCAUUUCUAAAUUGACGGGAAAUCAUCUCCAAGCUCAUUUCUUGCUGAAGAUUCUGGGAUCCUAUCAUUGGAAGAACUGGGUCUGUUUCAAAGGAGCACAGCAUUUGCACACCAAGCCGAGUUUCUAACACGCAGGAAGUGUACUUCACUGCGAUGACUGGAAACCAUCACUUAUGACAUCAUCUACAAGUAACAGAUGAAGAGAAUGUUGACCAGCCAUAGGACUGCAUCUGGAACAUGUAUUAUACUUACCGCAAUGCUUCUGCAUAAAAAAGAUACUCCUUUAACUGAUCUGCAUAAUGUUCUUCAUCUUCCAAAAUAUC
This is a long non-coding RNA of Bubalus bubalis (water buffalo), 365 nucleotides long. RefSeq lists it as uncharacterized. Lineage: Eukaryota; Metazoa; Chordata; Mammalia; Artiodactyla; Bovidae. The transcript has 3 exons. The record is from RefSeq and is a predicted model, not a curated record.